GAGUUUGAUCUUGGCUCAGAUUGAACGCUAGGCGGCAGGCCUAACACACUGCAAGGUCGAGCGGAUGAAGGGAGCUUGCUCCUGGAUUCAGCGGCGGACGGGUGAGUAAUGCCUAGGAAUCUGCCUGGUAGUGGGGAUAACGUCCGGAAACGGGCGCUAAUACCGCAUACGUCCUGAGGGAGAAAGUGGGGGAUCUUCGGACCUCACGCUAUCAGACGAGCCUAGGUCGGAUUAGCUAGUUGGUGGGGUAAAGGCCUACCAAGGCGACGAUCCGUAACUGGUCUGAGAGGAUGAUCAGUCACACUGGAACUGAGACACGGUCCAGACUCCUACGGGAGGCAGCAGUGGGGAAUAUUGGACAAUGGGCGAAAGCCUGAUCCAGCCAUGCCGCGUGUGUGAAGAAGGUCUUCGGAUUGUAAAGCACUUUAAGUUGGGAGGAAGGGCAGUAAGUUAAUACCUUGCUGUUUUGACGUUACCAACAGAAUAAGCACCGGCUAACUUCGUGCCAGCCG
Molecule: ribosomal RNA, 512 nt
Filed under: uncultured microorganism
Description: bacterial SSU rRNA
Rfam family: Bacterial small subunit ribosomal RNA
Source: RNAcentral